RNAcentral lists this ribosomal RNA (253 nucleotides) under uncultured bacterium. Its description in RNAcentral is "partial 16S ribosomal RNA". It matches the Rfam family "Bacterial small subunit ribosomal RNA", at positions 524 to 776 of the family's 1533-position model. The record is from RNAcentral.
UACGGGGGGGGCAAGCGUUGUUCGGAAUUACUGGGCGUAAAGGGUUCGUAGGUGGCCGACUAAGUCAGACGUGAAAUCCCUCAGCUCAACUGGGGAACUGCGUCUGAGACUGGCCGGCUUGAGUGCAGGAGAGGAACGCGGAAUUCCAGGUGUAGCGGUGAAAUGCGUAGAUAUCUGGAGGAACACCGGUGGCGAAGGCGGCAUCCUGGACCAAUAUUGACGCUGAGGAGCGAAAGCCAGGGGAGCAAACGGG